Molecule: transfer RNA, 71 nt
Filed under: Bacillus decisifrondis
Lineage: Bacteria; Bacillati; Bacillota; Bacilli; Caryophanales; Bacillaceae
Description: tRNA-Cys
Rfam family: tRNA
About the family: Transfer RNA (tRNA) molecules are approximately 80 nucleotides in length.
Source: RNAcentral
GGUGAUAUAGCCAAGCAGUAAGGCAAAGGUCUGCAACACCUUUAUCCUCGGUUCGAAUCCGAGUAUCAUCU